AUACGUAGGGGGCAAGCGUUAUCCGGAAUUACUGGGCGUAAAGGGUGCGUAGGCGGUUUAUCAAGUCAGGGGUGAAAGGCUACGGCUCAACCGUAGUGAGCCUCUGAAACUGGUGAACUUGAGUGUAGGAGAGGAAAGUGGAAUUCCCAGUGUAGCGGUGAAAUGCGUAGAUAUUGGGAGGAACACCAGUGGCGAAGGCGACUUUCUGGACUACAACUGACGCUGAGGCACGAAAGCGUGGGGAGCAAACAGGAUUAGAUACCCUGGUAGUCCACGCUGUAAACGAUGAGUACUAGGUGUCGGCUGUCAAAGGUCGGUGCCGGCGUUAACACAAUAAGUACCCCGCCUGGGGAGUACGGUCGCAAGAUUAAAACUCAAAUGAAUUGACGGGG
Molecule: ribosomal RNA, 392 nt
Filed under: uncultured bacterium
Lineage: Bacteria
Description: partial 16S ribosomal RNA
Rfam family: Bacterial small subunit ribosomal RNA
Source: RNAcentral